AACUUAGGGACAUUUAGGAUUUAGGAAAGAUCAAACCAAAAUAGGAAACCUUGGCUUAACUUUCUUACUUCAAGUAGGAAUCCUCAUCUUUAGGUCUUCAAUUUCGUCCAUUCCCUUAGUUCUAAGCAUGUGAUAUUUAUUCCAAGCCCAAAAUUGCUCCAAAAGGCUCCAAAAUGCACAUUUUUGCAUACUUUGUCCUUAGAACCUGAAAUUGCACAAAAAUGACUUUAAACAUUAAAACUACUAAGGAAUAACAACAUAAAUGCAUGAGAACAAGCUAACUCAGUUGCAUAAAUAUGCUCCUAUCAAAUUCCCCCACAAUUAGCUUUUGCUAGUCCUCGAGCAAAACAAAAGAAACAAACGAAUCAAAACAAACAGAACACAACUUAACCUUCCAACAUUUGCCUCAGGGAUUUCCAAUGCACAUGACAUGUUAAAAAUCAUCAUUCCCAUAGCUUUUAGUCAUCUUCACACUUGAGCACAUACUUAAUUACAGUCACCACUUACUAGUUCACAAUUAACCAAUUAAAACGAUAUUUUGAAUGUAGUAACAUGCCUUAGAGAAUUUGCUCAAUUCCUUACAAGAUACUCUCUAUUUUCACACACAUUUUCUGACUACACACCCUACACUAGUUAUAUGUGAGCAGAUUGAUGUAAACAUGGAAGACUAGUACUCACAUAUGUUAUAACAAAGAAAGCAAUUUAUGGAGUUAAUAAGCAUGUUUACAUAUGAUCUCAUGAAUGGAAUGCUACUACUUAGAUGCGAGAACCAGUGACACCAUAUGCUCAUACCAAUUUCGAACUCCACAAAUUGAAACACACAACACUCAAGAUUGAAGUCAUGGGUUGUAACAGGGCUUGGGGGUAAUGGCUAAUAAAGAAAGGAUAGCAAUAACAAACGUUCUUAAAGCGAUAGCAAGCAAAGCAAUGAAAUAGACACUUGGAAUUCACUUUAGAAUGCAGAAUCAACUUUUAAAUACAAAGGGAAGAUUCAUGCAACACUUAGGGUCGAAUUCAAUGUUUUGGACCCUUUUUUAACAAACUUUUUUCUUUUCACUCUUUUUUUUUUCUUUCUUUUCUACCCAUGCCUUAUUAAGGACUUUGGUACACACACACACACAAGAAUCACUUCCCCCACACUUGCUUUCUGCAACACAUUGAUAAAAAAGGAGUUCAUUUUAAGUUAUGCUUUACUAUGCUUCAAGAACAAGGGUAUGGAUAGUCCUAAAACUAGGCUAGCUAAGGAUAGUGUGGAGUAACAAAGAACAUAGGCUUAACAAGGUUCAACAGGGUUAAACUUAAACACAUAAUGAAAUAGGGGCACGACAAUU
This 1331-nucleotide long non-coding RNA is filed under the name Malus domestica (apple). RNAcentral describes it as "long non-coding RNA (MDOM_LNC000604)". Lineage: Eukaryota; Viridiplantae; Streptophyta; Magnoliopsida; Rosales; Rosaceae. The record is from RNAcentral.